Molecule: ribosomal RNA, 835 nt
Filed under: Actinoplanes sp. IM-1096
Lineage: Bacteria; Bacillati; Actinomycetota; Actinomycetes; Micromonosporales; Micromonosporaceae
Description: bacterial SSU rRNA
Rfam family: Bacterial small subunit ribosomal RNA
Source: RNAcentral
GGCGGCGUGCUUAACACAUGCAAGUCGAGCGGAAAGGCCCUUCGGGGUACUCGAGCGGCGAACGGGUGAGUAACACGUGAGUAACCUGCCCCAAACUUUGGGAUAACCCUCGGAAACGGGGGCUAAUACCGAAUAUUACUUCUGGUCGCAUGGCUGGUGGUGGAAAGUUUUUCGGUUUGGGAUGGACUCGCGGCCUAUCAGCUUGUUGGUGGGGUAAUGGCCUACCAAGGCGAGGACGGGUAGCCGGCCUGAGAGGGCGACCGGCCACACUGGGACUGAGACACGGCCCAGACUCCUACGGGAGGCAGCAGUGGGGAAUAUUGCACAAUGGGCGGAAGCGUGAUGCAGCGACGCCGCGUGAGGGAUGACGGCCUUCGGGUUGUAAACCUCUUUCAGCAGGGACGAAGCGCAAGUGACGGUACCUGCAGAAGAAGCGCCGGCCAACUACGUGCCAGCAGCCGCGGUAAGACGUAGGGCGCGAGCGUUGUCCGGAUUUAUUGGGCGUAAAGAGCUCGUAGGCGGCUUGUCGCGUCGACUGUGAAAACUUGGGGCUCAACCCCAAGCUUGCAGUCGAUACGGGCAGGCUAGAGUUCGGUAGGGGAGACUGGAAUUCCUGGUGUAGCGGUGAAAUGCGCAGAUAUCAGGAGGAACACCGAUGGCGAAGGCAGGUCUCUGGGCCGAUACUGACGCUGAGGAGCGAAAGCGUGGGGAGCGAACAGGAUUAGAUACCCUGGUAGUCCACGCUGUAAACGUUGGGCGCUAGGUGUGGGGGGCCUCUCCGGGUUUCUGCGCCGCAGCUAACGCAUUAAGCGCCCCGCCUGGGGAGUACGGCCGC